UACGGAGGGUGCAAGCGUUAUCCGGAUUCACUGGGUUUAAAGGGUGCGUAGGUGGAUCUAUAAGUCAGUGGUGAAAGCCCCGAGCUCAACUUGGGAAUUGCCAUUGAUACUGUAGGUCUUGAGUGCGGUUGAGGUAGGCGGAAUGUUGCAUGUAGCGGUGAAAUGCUUAGAUAUGCAACAGAACACCGAUUGCGGAGGCAGCUUACAAAGCCGAUACUGACACUGAGGCACGAAAGCGUGGGGAUCAAACAGG
This 253-nucleotide ribosomal RNA is filed under the name uncultured bacterium. RNAcentral describes it as "partial 16S ribosomal RNA". It matches the Rfam family "Bacterial small subunit ribosomal RNA", at positions 524 to 776 of the family's 1533-position model. The record is from RNAcentral.